Mastomys coucha (southern multimammate mouse) is the source of this 1190-nucleotide long non-coding RNA. RefSeq lists it as uncharacterized. Lineage: Eukaryota; Metazoa; Chordata; Mammalia; Rodentia; Muridae. The record is from RefSeq and is a predicted model, not a curated record. The transcript is spliced from 2 exons.
GGUCCUUCAUUUUCGCUUGCAGCGAGGAGGCAGUGGACGGGUCUGUUGUUUCUAUAAACGCCUUCACCUUUUCGUUCAUGGCAUUAAUGCUGCUUUGACGACCCGUAAUAUCCUGCUCCAGCAUCUGAAAUACAGCGAUUGUUGUAUACAUUGCCUAACGACGUCUACAAAUAAAGCUGCAGAGUCUUGAAAAAGAUUCCCCACAGCAAUACAAUGCUGCCAGAAAGAAGUUUUAAGUCACUGCUGUAACCCAUGAAAUAAUGAACAUUUAACGGCAGAAAAGGCCAGUUGUGAAGUCUAGCAUUCAGAGGCUAACAUGGAAGGAUUGCCAUGAGUUCAAGACCAGCAGGGAGUCCACCGUUAUUCUCAGGCUAACUGGGCUAAUGAGCAAGACCUUGUCUUAAAAAUGAUGAAAAAACAAAAAGAAAAAAUGAAAGGAAAACAUCAAAAGGCCAGAAACACAACAGGACAGUCUUUCUCCUCCACACCUCCAGGCUCGGGUUCCCACUCUGAGGACAGUUUCCCAUGGGAGCUUUUAAGACGAUGUAUCGAAACAGAAGAAUAAAACCUUAAGGGCCAGCACUCACACAUUCUUCAUAUGCCUUAAAAUUUGUAGUUUUAUGUUUUAUGAUUAUAAAUUGUGUGAUAAAAUGCACGUGUAAUUUAUGAAUACAUGUGCCAUGAAAUUACUUAUUGAUCAUAGUCACGAUCAAGAAUGCUUGCGUGUCUCUAAGAAUGGAGAAGAGUUAUGGAGUGGUUCUCUAUUCACAGAAGAUUUCCACUAAGACUUUAACUCGGCUGUAUUCGGGGGAACCAUAGGAACCGUCAUCUGGAAGAUGUUUUGAAUUUCAUCCACACAGGCAGAGAUCAUGAACCAAACAGCUUCCAUCUGGGAACACUUUCUCCUUAUCUAUAAGACACCCCUAUUUACCCAUGAGACUGGAAACAAGAGCUAAGACCUCACCAAGGGUCUUCUGGAUGUCAUUCUUGGCGGGCAGCAGCGAGCCCCCGGCAUCUAAGAGCACUUCUGCCGUUUUCUUCAGCUUCUCCACAGCAACCUGCUGGCUGGAUAUCUGUCCUUGCAGAGCCUGUGGGGCGGAGUGGAUUCCGUCAGGUUCAGGACUAACAAGUUCCCAAUAAGGAAAAAUGGUAAUCUAAAUCGGAUCGAAUAAACGAUACAAUACACAGAC